GCAGCGACGCMGCGUGMGGGAUGACGGCCUUCGGGUUGUAAACCKCUUUCAGCAGGGAAGAAGCSYMAGUGACGGUACCUGSAGAARAAGUMCCGGCUAACUACSUGCCAGCAGCCSCGGUAAUACSUAGGGKACGAGCGUUGUCCGGAAUUAUUGGGCGUAAAGAGCUCGUAGGUGGUUGGUCACGUCUGCUGUGGAAACSCMACGCUUAACSUUGSGCGUGCAGUGGGUACSGGCUGACUAGAGUGCAGUAGGGGAGUCUGGAAUUCCUGGKGUAGCGGUGAAAUGCGCAGAUWUCAGGAGGAACACCGGUGGCGAAGGCGGGACUCUGGGCUGUAACUGACACUGAGGAGCGAAAGCAUGGGGAGCGAACAGGAUUAGAUACCCUGGUAGUCCAUGCCGUAAACGUUGGGCACUAGGUGUGGGGGGCAUUCCACGUUYUCCGCGCCGUAGCUAACGCAUUAAGUGCCCCGCCUGGGGAGUACG
Molecule: ribosomal RNA, 486 nt
Filed under: Brevibacterium sp. CMT52
Lineage: Bacteria; Bacillati; Actinomycetota; Actinomycetes; Micrococcales; Brevibacteriaceae
Description: partial 16S ribosomal RNA
Rfam family: Bacterial small subunit ribosomal RNA
Source: RNAcentral